RNAcentral lists this ribosomal RNA (547 nucleotides) under Rolaspis compositae. Its description in RNAcentral is "partial 28S ribosomal RNA". The record is from RNAcentral. Lineage: Eukaryota; Metazoa; Arthropoda; Insecta; Hemiptera; Diaspididae.
AUCUGGGCGGCGGAAUUCAGGAUGGGUGGCGCGCGAGCUCGACUCGCGUGUUCGGCCGUUUGAUAUUUCCGUCGCCGUGUCGGACGUCGCGACCUGUUUGUCGUCGGUCCCUGCUCGGAGGAAUGGCGAUCGAGUUUGUUGCGCGGCGCGUUUCGGCGUGCGGCGCGGCGAAGACGCGACUCUCUGGCCGACGGCGGACAGUAAGCAACGGUGUCCGGCGCCGCCGUGUCUCGUCGACUCGGCGCCGGUGCCGGUCUGCGACGAUUUCUUCGGGCCUCUUUCCGACCCGUCUUGAAACACGGACCAAGGAGUCUAACAUGCGCGCGAGUCGCGGGGUUUCGAGCGUGCCACGGCGUACGCUCGUGACUUAGCGAAACCCGUACGUUGAAGGCGUAAUGAAAGUGAACAGGGAAGAUGGCGUUCCGAGUCCACGUACCGUGAUGAAUAGUGUCGCGGCCGGACGUCCGCACUCCCGGGGCGUCUCGAUGGCUCGUCGCGGACGCGGACGGUCGUCUCUCGGGGCGGCCGUCGGUUCGCGCCGGACCGA